RNAcentral lists this unclassified non-coding RNA (629 nucleotides) under Hevea brasiliensis (rubber tree). Lineage: Eukaryota; Viridiplantae; Streptophyta; Magnoliopsida; Malpighiales; Euphorbiaceae. The record is from RNAcentral.
UAGGAUUGGAUAGGAUGUCAUAUGUUGGACACCAUCCCAUCUCUGAUGCAGCGUGAUAUUAAAAAUUGGACACCAUCAUAAUGGAGAAGCGAAACAAAACAAGAUAGAGGAAAAAGAAAAGAAUAACAUAGAAAAAUAAACAAUUAAUUGAAUCACAUUCGCAAGAGGCCAGCAGCAUUUACAAAAGCAAGCCACAACCCACAACUAAAUAUGACCAAUACCAUUGGUAGCUGCCAUUGACAGAUGAUGCUUUAGUGAACCAACUGUACUCCUAUGUCUAUAUCACAAUAAUUUUUAGCUCAUAAACAAGUUCAUAAUUUAACUACUCAGCAAUGUUAAAACAAUAAUUGUCUUUGAAUCACCAAACAUAAUCUCCUCAAAUAGGGAAUUUAACCACUGGAAAAUUAUCUGUUAAAUAUGCUAAUACCCACUUCUUUCUUCACCAGAAGUCUCAUCUCAUAGAAGAGUACGUAAAAUAAUAGAACCAACCUAUAGAACUGCCACUUAAGUUUCAUGUCCAGGACCCUAGUCCUAAAUAACUACAAUUAUAGCUAUUAGAUCUAUGAAAUCAUACUCUAAUACUAAAUCAAUUUCAAACUUGUCAACACAUAUGUUCAAAGACAAACCUU